AUUAAAUUUAAGAUCAAGGAGAAUAUUCCGGAGGAUCAGACUGGAGCCAUUAAAGUCCACAUUCCUUGACAUCAUAAAGGAGGCAUGAACAUUGGCCAUCGAUGAAGCUCUUCCAUCCUCUCUGGUCCUGCACCCUCCUCUCCAGAUGUUGCCACGUCAGCCCUUCUGUCUUCAUCUCCUGUUCUGUGGUUCUUCUCCAGGUGGUUCUCGGUCUGGCUCUCUUCUUCCUGCCCUGUGGGUUCCACGUCAGUGCCUGUUUAGUGAUUUCUUUCUUUCUCCUGAGUGUGUGCCUUAUCCACUUCCAUUUCCUCCUCCGAAUUUGCAUUUCUAUUGGGUCUUGUUUGGUGAGUUCCCACAUGUUGGCGUAAGAGAUGAUGUUGGGCCUAUGUAUGCAUUUAUUUAUUUGUCUUCUAAGUUUACCCUGGUAUAGAUCCUCCGCUUUGCUUGUAUAAUAUAUAGCUUUGCCGUUCAGGAUGAGGAGCUGUUGCGGCCCACCCACUCUCUGGACAAAGCCCUCGGUCUGCUGUUACUGGAAGAGCGGGAGUCGGGUGGCUCUCCUCUUCCCGUUCACGGGUCGCGCAGAGGCUUCCGCUUCCCUCGUUCCAACCUCCAGUGACGCAGACCUCGACGACUCUCAACGGGAGGAUGCUUGAUGAUUAUUUGCUGCUGGCCGACCCAUGUCGCUCAGGGCAGAUGACUGCCAAAUCAGCCACAUCAAGCACAUAUUCCCCACACUGUGUGAGCCAGCUGCCGUUACCUAGGCGGCUAACCUGCAGCUCGAGCUCAAACCAACAAGCAGUCAGCCAUCUGUCAAACGUUUGCGGACGACACAACAGUCAUCAGCCUCAUCCAGGAUGGCGAUGAGUCGGCCUACAAACGGGAGGCUCUCUGGUGCGGCCAGAACAACCUGGAGCUUAACAUGCUCAAAACUGUGGAGAUGACUGUGGACUUCAGGAGGA
Long non-coding RNA from Micropterus dolomieu (smallmouth bass), 959 nucleotides. RefSeq lists it as uncharacterized. NCBI's taxonomy places the organism in Eukaryota, Metazoa, Chordata, Actinopteri, Centrarchiformes, Centrarchidae. The transcript has 4 exons. The record is from RefSeq and is a predicted model, not a curated record.